Molecule: ribosomal RNA, 495 nt
Filed under: uncultured bacterium
Lineage: Bacteria
Description: bacterial SSU rRNA
Rfam family: Bacterial small subunit ribosomal RNA
Source: RNAcentral
AGAGUUUGAUUAUGGCUCAGGAUGAACGCUGGCGGCGUGCUUAACACAUGCAAGUCGAACGAUUAAAGCCCCUUCGGGGGUGUAUAGAGUGGCGAACGGGUGAGUAACACGUGGGUAACCUGCCCCUGACUCUGGGAUAACUCCGGGAAACCGGAGCUAAUACCGGAUACUCCGAGCGGAUCGCAUGGUCUGCUUGGGAAAGCUCCGACGGUCAGGGAUGGACCCGCGGCCCAUUAGCUUGUUGGUAGGGUAACGGCCUACCAAGGCGACGAUGGGUAGCCGAGCUGAGAGGCUGACCGGCCACACUGGGACUGAGACACGGCCCAGACUCCUACGGGAGGCAGCAGUGGGGAAUUUUGCGCAAUGGGCGAAAGCCUGAACCGCAGCAACGCCGCGUGAGGGAUGAAGGCUCUCGGGUCGUAAACCUCUUUCAGCAGGGACGAAACUGACGGUACCUGCAGAAGAAGCCCCGGCUAAAUACGUGCCAGCCGCCGC